GAUAAUCGAGUAAAGUCUCAUUCCGAGCUAUCACAAAUGAGUCAUCUACGCAGUCCCGUUCAAUGUGCAUAAAAAAAUACAUUAUUGUUCUUGUUCCCAAAUCUAGACAAAUCUUAAUAAGAACGAUACAAUGUUACCAACAUAAAGCGUCCAACUUUAUGUACUGAUUGUGAAUGACAUAUUUUGAUCACAUCACGAAUUGUAUCUCUCUAUACCCGAACCAUCGAGUAUACAAUUUUUGACAUCUUAUAUAAUCAUAGAACCUUAAAUAAUCAUUUCAAAUCGUAACACAUGAAUAAUCGAACGUCAAUUCAUAAUGUCAAUUUACAAAAUACUACUCAAGAGAGAGCAUCAAAUUAACACCAUCCACACCAAAUAUAAAGUAA
RNAcentral lists this long non-coding RNA (386 nucleotides) under Olea europaea (common olive). RNAcentral describes it as "long non-coding RNA (OEUR_LNC015244)". Lineage: Eukaryota; Viridiplantae; Streptophyta; Magnoliopsida; Lamiales; Oleaceae. The record is from RNAcentral.